Molecule: ribosomal RNA, 305 nt
Filed under: uncultured bacterium
Lineage: Bacteria
Description: bacterial SSU rRNA
Rfam family: Bacterial small subunit ribosomal RNA
Source: RNAcentral
CGCACUAGGGGGCAGCAGUGGGGAAUAUUGCACAAUGGGGGAAACCCUGAUGCAGCGACGCCGCGUGAGUGAUGAAGUAUUUCGGUAUGUAAAGCUCUAUCAGCAGGGAAGAUAAUGACGGUACCUGAUUAAGAAGCUCCGGCUAAAUACGUGCCAGCAGCCGCGGUAAUACGUAUGGAGCAGGCGUUAUCCGGAUUUACUGGGUGUAAAGGGAGCGCAGACGGCAGGGCAAGUCUGAUGUGAAAGUCCGGGGCUCAACCCCGGGACUGCAUUGGAAACUGUCCGGCUAGAGUGCAGGAGAGGUA